AUUGUACUUGGAAGAUGAAUGCUAUAGGACCUCAUGAAACAGGAGGCUCUGAAGGAUGAACAGAGCUCCAAGAUAACACCUUAUGCUUUGUCUGAAGAGUUGACAUUACGUUGUGUGGGGAAUAAGUUUAGGAAUUCCCCGGGCUUGUACCAAUGGGUUAACAAGGCAUAAAGAAUUACAAAGCCAUAGGGUGCUCUCACCCAAGCCUGGGUAAGCAAGAUUAGGCAGAUCGGAAGA
Long non-coding RNA from Herpailurus yagouaroundi (jaguarundi), 237 nucleotides. RefSeq lists it as uncharacterized. Lineage: Eukaryota; Metazoa; Chordata; Mammalia; Carnivora; Felidae. The transcript is spliced from 3 exons. The record is from RefSeq and is a predicted model, not a curated record.